AUCGGGGUAGUGUAGUGGUUAUCACUGGGCACUCUCCAUGCCUAAACCGGGGUUCGAUUCCCCGUCCCGAUG
Molecule: transfer RNA, 72 nt
Organism: Candida tropicalis MYA-3404
Lineage: Eukaryota; Fungi; Ascomycota; Pichiomycetes; Serinales; Debaryomycetaceae
Rfam family: tRNA
About the family: Transfer RNA (tRNA) molecules are approximately 80 nucleotides in length. Their secondary structure includes four short double-helical elements and three loops (D, anti-codon, and T loops). Further hydrogen bonds mediate the characteristic L-shaped molecular structure. tRNAs have two regions of fundamental functional importance: the anti-codon, which is responsible for specific mRNA codon recognition, and the 3' end, to which the tRNAs corresponding amino acid is attached (by aminoacyl-tRNA synthetases). tRNAs cope with the degeneracy of the genetic code in two manners: having more than one tRNA (with a specific anti-codon) for a particular amino acid; and 'wobble' base-pairing, i.e. permitting non-standard base-pairing at the 3rd anti-codon position.
Source: Rfam